AUGGACACAAUUGUCACUUCUCAUGGCAGUCAUCUCAAAGUGUCAUUUGUCCAAAGAGCAAAAAUGCUGAAGUCACCUGCCAGCCCCAGCCUGGAAGCUGCCUCCAAAGCCUUCUCCCUUCCUGGGGUAUGUAAGGACCCCACCUUACCAUUAGAGGCCAGGAUACUGCCACUGCACCGGGACCAGGGAGGUAAGAAGCUUUUUGUAAAGGAUAUUUUAACUGAAAUAAAAAAUGGGGUGGUCUUUGGAGAACUAGAAUGGCUUAUGAGUUUCCCAAUGAGAAAAACUCACCCACUUAAAAGUCAUGGAAUCAGGAAAGCAUGGAUGUGUCCAGAGAUCUGGUCAUUUCUCCAGCACACUCUUGGGACAGAUAUGACCCAGAGCUCUGGGUUAUACCAGUUCAAGAAGCAAAGAGUACAUCCUUGUGUAGAGCAUGUCCCAAGGACCACAAUUCAAGACCAAGAGGCUCAGAGGAGAAAUGAACCUGAGGUUGAGGGCCAGUUGCAGGCAGCUGCCAAUCCUCCCGAAGAAGACCCUGUUCUGCUAGGGCUGUGGCCAGCGAUGUGAACUUCCCACCUCAUCCCUGCUACCAGACUCUGCCCUCAGCCACAUAACCUUCCCAAGGCCAAGGGAAUUGGACCAGGCUCAAGCCCAGACCUUUAUGAUGGUGGCUAUAUAAUGGGUCUGUGUGGGGUAAAAUGAACACAAAUAGACUUGUGAGACAGUAGCAUCCAUAGGCCAUAAGGGAAGAGUGGAAGCCCCUUCCCCAGCUCCCUGGCCUCCCCUCCAGCUUGUCUGUGAGGCCCAAUCUCCUACUGCAUCUGACUCUGUAGUGCCCAGAUCUGCUGGCUUCCUGGGUGCUGCACUUGCUACCUUACUCAGCACCAUCAUAUAUAAAGGUGUCACCUUGAAAACCACAGCACUUGCUCAGAACACCUGCCAACCUGGGUGGUUCGGGACAUGCAAUGAUCACUGGAUGGAUUUCAUUUAAAUUUAGAUGCAUUUCAGCAUCCAGAAUGACUGGCAAUUAAGUUCAAUACAUGUGAGCCUCUGUUUAUUCUUGGGGAAAAUAGGCUUCAGGUCAAAGUGUGUUGAAGGUCAAGGUGUGUUGAUCAAACACAUGCAGACAAUGGCAAGGAUGGUACUUGGGGAACAACAUCAAAGGACACCAUCGGGCUGUGCCUUUGGGUUCCUAGGAAGCAAACUUUGAGAGGGGUCAAGGUCUGCAGAGAAAGGGAGAAGCCAGCUGCAGUCUCCACAGAGACCUCAGAAGAUGCCCUAGGGUUGGAAGUUGGGCCCCUCAGAGCUCCCCUCAGUGGAUGCUGUCACCUGCAGUCCAGGAGAAAAGGGAUGCACCCAUGGGGUCUGUCCAUUCAGCUGGAGCUGCAGCAAUCCCCAAAGAUGGAUAACAGUAGUCAGGGCUGGAAGGUGAGUCCCUGCUCCUGACACCAGGGUGCAUCACAGUGCCAUGCCAGGCCUCCAUGGUGACACACUUGAUGCAACACUAGAGAUAUCCCCAGAUGUCUUAAGUGCCUUGAUGUCUGCCCUCCCGCUGUCUGCAUGUGGUCUCUCAGACACCACUACCCAGGCUUUGCCAACCUAAACCCAAUGCCUCCAAUGUACAAUGUUCAGUGUCCCCACAUAUUUGAGCCUGGUGACACUCGAGAGCAAGACAGGGACAGAGUCUGCAGCUUUCACCAUACAGCCCCAAACAUACAGCCUUGGGGCACUCAGGGCUGGUCCUCCACCAGACCUCCACUUCCUCUGUCCUUGAUUCCAGUGUAUACACUGACACUAGCCCACAUAACCUCCUCAAAGAACUCAGAGUGUGCCAAUGAGGAACCUUG
This is a long non-coding RNA of Fukomys damarensis (Damara mole-rat), 1847 nucleotides long. NCBI's taxonomy places the organism in Eukaryota, Metazoa, Chordata, Mammalia, Rodentia, Bathyergidae. The record is from Ensembl.